CCUACGGGAGGCAGCAGUGGGGGAUAUUGCACAAUGGGGGAAACCCUGAUGCAGCGACACCGCGUGAGUGAAGACGCGCUUCGGCAUGUAAAGCCCUAUCAGUCGGGAAGAAAAAGGACGGUACCCAACGCGGAAGCACCGUCUAAAUACGUGCCAGCAGCCGCGGUAAGACGUAUGGUGCAAGCGUUAUCCGGAGUGACUGGGUGUAAAGGGAACGUAGACGGUUGUACAAGUCAGAUGUGAAAGCCCACGGCUCAACUGUGAGAGUGCAUUGGAAACUGGAGAACUAGAGUACAGGAGAGGUAAGCGGAAUUCGUGGUGUAGCGGUGAAAUGCUUAGAUAUCACGAGGAACACCAAUGGCGAAGGCAGCUUGCUGGACUAUAACUGACGCUGAGGCUCGAAAGCGUGGGGAGCAAACAGGAUUAGAUACCCCAGUAGUC
Molecule: ribosomal RNA, 441 nt
Filed under: uncultured bacterium
Lineage: Bacteria
Description: partial 16S ribosomal RNA
Rfam family: Bacterial small subunit ribosomal RNA
Source: RNAcentral